CAAUAGCGUAUAUUAAAGUUGUUGCAGUUAAAAAGCUCGUAGUUGGAUUUGUGGCUGUCACGGGCGGCCUAUCACUUAGCGUUAGUGCUUGCCUGUGUCGCCAUCCUUGGGUGGAGCCCGUGUGGCAUUAGGUUGUCGUGCGGGGGAUGCCCAUCGUUUACUGUGAGAAAAUUAGAGUGUUCAAAGCAGGCUUAUGCCGUUGAAUAUGUUAGCAUGGAAUAAUAAGAUAGGACCUCGGUACUAUUUUGUUGGUUUGCGCACCGAGGUAAUGAUUAAUAGGGACAGUUGGGGGUAUUCGUAUUUCAUUGUCAGAGGUGAAAUUCUUGGAUUUCUGAAAGACGAACUACUGCGAAAGCAUUUACCAAGGAUGUUUUCAUUAA
RNAcentral lists this ribosomal RNA (380 nucleotides) under uncultured eukaryote. RNAcentral's name for it is "partial 18S ribosomal RNA". It matches the Rfam family "Eukaryotic small subunit ribosomal RNA", at positions 592 to 976 of the family's 1831-position model. The record is from RNAcentral.